RNAcentral lists this ribosomal RNA (226 nucleotides) under uncultured bacterium. RNAcentral describes it as "partial 16S ribosomal RNA". It matches the Rfam family "Bacterial small subunit ribosomal RNA", at positions 524 to 748 of the family's 1533-position model. The record is from RNAcentral.
UACGUAGGGGGCAAGCGUUGUCCGGAAUCAUUGGGCGUAAAGCGCGUGUAGGCGGUCCGGUAAGUCCGCUGUGAAAGUCCAGGGCUCAACCCUGGGAUGCCGGUGGAUACUGUCGGGCUAGAGUACGGAAGAGGCGAGUGGAAUUCCCGGUGUAGCGGUGAAAUGCGCAGAUAUCGGGAGGAACACCAAUUGCGAAGGCAGCUCGCUGGGACGUUACGUGACGCUG